GCCAACACAAAUUUUUCUUUAUAUAAGAGGAACUUAGGGUUUUCUACAAUGUAACUGGAUCUUAUUGGGGUAAAUUUUUUCAGGCAGAGAUUUGGGUCGUUACAAAAACAUUACAGAAAAAAUAUGGAAACAAGAGGUUGGAAUUAUAGCAGAGUGGAAGGAGACGAUCUUAAAGACGAUGAUGGCAGUCAAGACGAAACUUUUGAUACCUCUGAUCCUGUAUCAAGACGAA
RNAcentral lists this long non-coding RNA (232 nucleotides) under Brassica napus (rape). Its description in RNAcentral is "long non-coding RNA (BNAP_LNC012105)". Lineage: Eukaryota; Viridiplantae; Streptophyta; Magnoliopsida; Brassicales; Brassicaceae. The record is from RNAcentral.